Molecule: ribosomal RNA, 469 nt
Filed under: uncultured Alphaproteobacteria bacterium
Lineage: Bacteria; Pseudomonadati; Pseudomonadota; Alphaproteobacteria
Description: bacterial SSU rRNA
Rfam family: Bacterial small subunit ribosomal RNA
Source: RNAcentral
GAGUUUGAUCGUGGCUCAGAACGAACGCUGGCGGCAUGCCUAACACAUGCAAGUCGAACGAGACCUUCGGGUCUAGUGGCGCACGGGUGCGUAACGCGUGGGAAUCUGCCCUUGGGUUCGGGAUAACAGUUGGAAACGACUGCUAAUACCGGAUGAUGACUUCGGUCCAAAGAUUUAUCGCCCAGGGAUGAGCCCGCGUCGGAUUAGCUAGUUGGUGAGGUAAAGGCUCACCAAGGCGACGAUCCGUAGCUGGUCUGAGAGGAUGAUCAGCCACACUGGGACUGAGACACGGCCCAGACUCCUACGGGAGGCAGCAGUGGGGAAUAUUGGACAAUGGGCGAAAGCCUGAUCCAGCAAUGCCGCGUGAGUGAUGAAGGCCCUAGGGUUGUAAAGCUCUUUUACCCGGGAUGAUAAUGACAGUACCGGGAGAAUAAGCCCCGGCUAACUCCGUGCCAGCCGCCGCGGUAAC